Long non-coding RNA from Pyrus x bretschneideri (Chinese white pear), 4946 nucleotides. RefSeq lists it as uncharacterized. The record is from RefSeq and is a predicted model, not a curated record. The transcript is spliced from 2 exons. NCBI's taxonomy places the organism in Eukaryota, Viridiplantae, Streptophyta, Magnoliopsida, Rosales, Rosaceae.
GUAACUACAUUCAAUAACCAUAAUGAGAUAAAAAUAUAUAUAUGACAGAUAUCAAACAUACAGUGCAAAUUGCAAAUAGAUAACAAACCUGAACAGGAUGAUAUGGAAUUGGCAUAUAGGUAUUAUUGCCAAACAUGUGAACCGGGACCUGUAUAUCACAUAACAAUUUCAAGUUUAUAUUUGUCAACUAAUCAAGCCUUGCCAUGAAGAUUAAAAAACAUUCAAAAGUACUUCACUUGUGAUGAAUGAGAAGGUGGCAGUGGAUAAGGACUAAAGACAUUGAUACCACCAGUAUGUUGUGGAAUUGUAACCUAAAACAUGUCAACGAUUAAACUUUAAUUAUAUAUAUUAAGCACAUAGGCAUGAUAAAGAAUUAAAUGAGUUUAAGUACUUGAUCAGACUUCUUUUUUCUUGGUAAGGCUUUUUCCAAAGCACUCCUAAUUCUUCUUCUUCCUCGAUGAGACUUUUCUUUCUUCUUAAGCCGUUUUGGAAUGAUAUCAACAUUCUCCAAGCAACUGGCCAUUUGGCUAUUACAGUUGGUAUGCAUUUUCUCAGGUACAUCAUAUUUCACUUCUAGAUGUAAUAGGUCUUCAACCAUUUUUGCCAAUUUAUUUGCUUGCUCAAUCACCAGUUGGUAUGCCUUUAUAUUUUCAGAUGCCCUUGUUGAUAAUCUAGUGAAUAUAGAACACAAGGACCUAUAUCUAAAAGCUUGCUAGAAUUUAGGCUCCACUUGAAUGUCACGCCCACGCAUGUCUACCACACUCUCAACUUUUGCUUAUUUACUCUACAUGUUCACUAUAUAUUGUUCAGGAAUUUCCUUAUAAGCAUAGUUUCUCUAAGGACUUUAAUAGCAUGACUGCACAAAAUACCUUUCAUCUCAAAUAGUCUACAGUUGCAAAAAACUGUAGAUAUACCUUCCCUUUUCACCUUACGCUUCUUAGACGUAUCAUCUAGUUCAACUGCGUAUACAAAGUCAUCCCCAUCAACAACAUAGUUUGUUAUUGACAAUUCAAUAGAUUCUUCAAAUUGAUCUUGAAACAAUUUAAAUAUCGCUUUCGUGUAAACUUCUCUAGCUUAUUUCAACAUUUUGAUAUCAUAUUUGACAUGUGCAAUUUUGAAUUGUAGGUCACACUCCGCUUCCCACUUCUUGUACCCAGUAUCGGUAAGAACCCUCUCAAAGUUUGUGAAAAAUUGAACAAUAUUGAGAUCUGACUUCAAAUAAUUUUUUAGUCUUGCAUUAAAACUUUCACUGAUUUGUGUGCUUCGUAUUCCUAUAAACCAUGCCGAUCUCACAUAUGCAUAUGCCCAUUUCUUUCUAAUCUUAAAUGUGGUGGCCAACCAGUCAUUCUCAUGUGCAUCAUACUCAUUAAGCAUAGAAUACCAAGCAGCUACAAACUCACUUUCCUCCUCAAUGUGGUAAAAAAAAUUUGUCAAAGCAUUGUGAACUCCUUCCUAACCUCUGAAUAAAGUAUUCACAUUUUUACAAGCAUUCUGCAUCAGAUGUCAUAAACAAAGUCUAUGAUAAGUCUGAGGCAUCACUUCUAAAAUAGCCUUAGCCAUCACAGGAUCUUGAUCGGUAAAAAUAGUUCUUGGAGCCUUGCUAGACAUUGCCUGCAAAAAUGUUUUAAAUAACCAACUAAAUGAAGUGGCGGUCUCAUCAUACAUUAAAGCUGCUCCAAAUACAAUGAUCUCCUUGUGAUGAUUAAAGCCAACAAACACUACAAAUGGUCGAUCCAAUUGUUUGACUUUAUAAGUUGUAUCAAAACUUACAUCAUCUCCAAAAUGGCUAUAAUCAAUUAUCAUUUUAGCAUUUGCCCAAAACAUGUUUGUUAUUUGCUCCUCUUUGUCCAAGUGUAGUUCAUAGAAGAAUGAUGGGUUUUCCAAUAUUUGUUUGGAAAAGUAUUGUAGCAGGACUUUAACUUCUCCAUAUGGCAUUUUCUUUUGCCUCACAAUUCGAAGAUAAUUUUUUUGAUCCUGCUUAAUAUAUCCCAAAGACUCUUCCACCUGCUUGUUUGCUUAUUAACUCAUAAGCCAACCUAAGUGGAAACCCGGAUUCUUCAGCCAAUUCUACCUUAGUGGCUUGUAAGGCUGUCAUUUUCCAUUGGGAUGGUACCAUAUGGGCAUAUUCUUUCUUUACUAGGGGAUGAUUAAUUUGUUCAACAAAAGUAUAAACAUAAAACUUUCCCCUAUGCCUAUCCAACCUAACACCCAUACGAGCACCACAUCCAGUCCUCGUCUCUGCUCUUGGUCUUCUAAUCAUACCAUUUCGCUUAUUUACAGCUUGAAACCCUUCUUUAGCACAAGUAAACAGUCUUGAAGUGAGUUCACCAGCCUUUUUAUUAUUGCCACUACUUUCUCUUCGAAUACUAAACCCCAUAAUUCCACCAUAUUUGUUGUAGAAAUCAUAUGCUUCUUGUUCAGAAUCAAACUCCAUAUUUUUUGUAGGUUUCAAUUCCAAAGUACCUUCUACGCCAUCAUUCGGUUUAUCCAUUAUGUCAUUCACUAUCUAAUCCUACCGCAAAAAUAUACCAAGAUUCAGACAACUUGAGCUCAACGAAAAAAACCAAAUUUUCUGUAGAAGCAACACAACAUCUCCUCUUUUUCAAACAUAAACAUGCAGCAAAUCCAAUCUAAUUGCAAAAAUAUCAUGAAAAGGAAAUUCAACAAUGGAAACCUAACCUUUAUUAUUGAAGACCAGUGGCAACCCGUUGAUCGACCAAAGCGAGACAAUGAUUUCUUUUCCUUCCGAAAUUUUUGGAGGAAUGAGAUGCAUGAAUUGGAUUUUAUUUUUUCCUUCGAAAUUUUUAGAGGAAUGAGAUACGAGAAUUUCGUAGGAAACAAGAGAUUAGUUUCAGAGGAGAAGUGAGCAAGCAGGGAAUAGGGGAGCGCAUGAGAUGUAAAAGGCACAAGAUUGCCUUGGUUUGAGCGAAAUAAUUUGAAAGCUUCUUGGCCGUUCUUGGCUGGAAGAUCAAUUUGAAAGGCUGAGAUCAAUUGAUCCCUAGGCUUCAUUGGCAACAGCUCAGGAUAGGAUCUGCUUCCCCUGUCCCGUGUCCCGUCAUCUCUCUUCCUCUCUUUAUUUUCUUAUUUUUCUUCUUCUUUCCUCUUCAUCAUCACUCUCCCUCCCACUCAUCUCUCACUAUUUGUUUUCUUCUCUUGGCUAAACAGCACCCACAUACCCACCCACAUUCAUAUCACCACCAUCACAUGUACCUUAACACUCUGGCGAGCUCUGGAAGGGGGACAAAACCACCACCAAUUCCUCUUUUUCCUUUGCACAGUAGCCUUUACUGUGCAACACCUUUCUCCGGCAAAGGAACAUGGAAAACCCUCGAGGAACUCACUAUUCAUUUCUGGAAAUUCAAAACCGUGGUCGUUUGCCCACCUUCUAGCCAAUUUGUCGGCUAACUUUGAUCUUCAUUGGGCUUCCUCAGGGUAUGAAUCUCUUCUCCACAUUCCUAACCACAUUUUAGUUUUUGAAUUACUCGAUUUGGACAUGUAUCGAGCUUGGAAUGAGCUCUUAAAGUUGGAGGAAAAAUCUGGAAAAAUUCCAGAAAUCGUGGGUUGGCGAGUACAAGUGUACUAACGGCGCAUGAAGCUACGCAUGGGGUUGUCAUGGUUGGUGCGACGAAUUUUCAUGCUACCCAUCUCGACACGUGGUGACCCAAGCUACCACGGGGUGGCGGCGCAUGGGGAACCCGAGGUCCCUCCUUAAAUUUUUCUAUGUGUCGAAUUUGAAUUCGUCUCCGUUUUUCCAAAUUCAAUUAUUUUAGUAGUGUUUUAAUAAAUGGUCCCUAUUUGUGUUUAGGUACGUUGGUUGGAAGUGAUCUUAUCCUCUCUAAUUCGAUCGGCUCCCCGCUAGAGGAAUAUUUGUGGGUGGACCCCUUCUUAAAUUGCAUAUUUUUAUAAAAAUAUUAGGCUUGCAUUCAUUCUACAUUUCCUGAGUUAAUUGCGUUUUAUAAUAUGUUUCUAAGAAUUUCUAGAUUUAUAAUUUAUGGAGAAUUUAUGAGUUAUCUAAAUUGCUUUUAUGAAAUAUUUAUAAUUUAUUAGUUUAAAGUUUAUGAAAUUUAUAUUCGUGGAAAUCACGUUUAUGGAAUUGCUUAUGAUUUCGGAUGAUGAGAUUUUGAAUCCUAAGCUUGGUAUGAGUUUUUGAGAUAUGUUUUAUGUGGGUAAUCGUACAUCACAUACACACAACCUGAGUAUGUAUACAUCUAUGGCCAUAGGACACAUUGGAUGAGUAGUGAGAUAUUUAUGACAUACUCCCAGCUUCAUUAGCAAAACCAAUGUCGGACAAAUUCACUAGCCACGGCUAGUGUCGAUGUGUUAUGUAUAUAUUUCUUCUCUAGCGUAACCUAGAGUCGUACAACUUCAACUUUGGGUGAUGGGACCUACCAUAUUUGUUCACUGGCGUAACCCAAUGUCGUACAGCUUCACCUUCGGGUGAUGGUUAUGCCUUCAAGUGACUAUGAUACCCCUAGUUGAGUACAUUAUUAUUUUGAUUUACGAGAUUCUUUGGAUUUGCCUUCAGGCGCUUUCGAUAUCACUUUUAGAGAUAAUUUUUUUGGCAUGUUAGAGUUUUUAGCAAAACCUAUAUGUAGUAUUAUAUGUGUUUUCCAAACAGGGGGUUAGUAUGUUUAGAAAGAAAUCGAUUUUCUUAUUAGUACUAUUAUUAUAAGUAUAGUCCACUCACCUUUUGUUUUUGCUCCCCCUUCAGGACAUAGUGAUGAGGACUACGCCCCGAGCUUCGAAGCAUUUCCCUACUAGUGAUUUUGUGUCCUCUUACCAACGUAUGACUUCUUAUGUGCAAUUGUAAUUUGUCUUUCAUUUCCUUUAGUACUCUCGACUAGUAGUAUGCUCUAAACAUAUUCUUGCAUCUUUUCUUUCAGAAUUGUGAUUGUUGGACAUCCUUUUUAUUUUAUGACCUUCUUUCUAUUAUUAUUAUUUCUUUA